Molecule: ribosomal RNA, 395 nt
Filed under: uncultured bacterium
Lineage: Bacteria
Description: bacterial SSU rRNA
Rfam family: Bacterial small subunit ribosomal RNA
Source: RNAcentral
GUGUCAGCAGCCGCGGUAAUACGGAGGGUGCGAGCGUUGCUCGGAAUCACUGGGCGUAAAGCGUACGCAGGCUGUCUCGUAAGUCGGGUGUGAAAGCCCGGGGCUCAACCCCGGAAUUGCGCCCGAGACUGCGGGGCUUGAAUGCGGGAGAGGGAAGCGGAAUUCCUGGUGUAGAGGUGAAAUUCGUAGAUAUCAGGAGGAACACCGGUGGCGAAAGCGGCUUCCUGGCCCGACAUUGACGCUCAUGUACGAGAGCGUGGGGAGCAAACAGGAUUAGAUACCCUGGUAGUCCACGCUGUAAACGAUGAGUGCUAGCUGCUGGGAAUGUCUACCGUCUCAGUGGCGAAGCUAACGCAUUAAGCACUCCGCCUGGGAAGUACGGCCGCAAGGCUAAA